AUUGAACGCUGGCGGCAUGCCUUACACAUGCAAGUCGAACGGCAGCACGGGAGCUUGCUCCUGGUGGCGAGUGGCGAACGGGUGAGUAAUGUAUCGGAACAUGCCCUGAAGUGGGGGAUAACGUAGCGAAAGUUACGCUAAUACCGCAUAUUCUGUGAGCAGGAAAGCAGGGGAUCGCAAGACCUUGCGCUUUGGGAGUGGCCGAUAUCGGAUUAGCUAGUUGGUGAGGUAAAGGCUCACCAAGGCGACGGUCCGUAGCGGGUCUGAGAGGAUGAUCCGCCACACUGGGACUGAGACACGGCCCAGACUCCUACGGGAGGCAGCAGUGGGGAAUUUUGGACAAUGGGCGCAAGCCUGAUCCAGCCAUGCCGCGUGAGUGAAGAAGGCCUUCGGGUUGUAAAGCUCUUUCGGUGGGGAAGAAAUUGCUUCGGCUAAUACCCGGAGUAGAUGACGGUACCCGCAUAAGAAGCACCGGCUAACUACGUGCCAGCAGCCGCCGUAC
This 502-nucleotide ribosomal RNA is filed under the name uncultured bacterium. RNAcentral's name for it is "partial 16S ribosomal RNA". It matches the Rfam family "Bacterial small subunit ribosomal RNA", at positions 30 to 523 of the family's 1533-position model. The record is from RNAcentral.